This 446-nucleotide long non-coding RNA is filed under the name Solanum tuberosum (potato). Its description in RNAcentral is "long non-coding RNA (STUB_LNC003766)". The record is from RNAcentral. Lineage: Eukaryota; Viridiplantae; Streptophyta; Magnoliopsida; Solanales; Solanaceae.
UUAAGCCUAUUUUCUCUCUUUCGUGUACACUAGAUGUAUACUAGUGUAUACGAUCUUGUAUAUCUUCUCUGAACCCUGUUCACCAAAUUUUCGGGGGAUCUGACUCGGUACAAGAAUUUUGGAGGCCUCCGUGGCCCCCUUGUAAAUGCAAAGAUACAGUCCAUGAGGACUUGAACGGAUUUUACAUGCAAAAUGACAAACAAAAUAUAGAAUUAGCCUUGGGAAGGAAAAUGAAGGGGCGAGAUAAAAAGUAAAUGAAAAUAAGAGUACAUAAACGAAAAUAAACGAAAUAAAUAAAUAAAUAAAAACACUCACUGAUUAAUUACUAACAGUACAACAUUCGAACAAUAAAGUAAAGGAAAAAAAAAACCAUGAAGACUAAAUGUUUUUAUGUAUAUGAUACAGUGAGCAGUAAAAGAGCAAAGUCAAAUGGACCAAAUUCAAUA